GCCAGGCAUGGUGGUGUCUGAUAAUCCCAGCUACUCAGGAGUCAAAUGCGGAAGGGUUGCUUGAGCCCAGAAGUUCUGGGCUGUAGUGUGCUGCACUGAUUGGGUGUCCCUACUAUGUUCGGCAUCGAUACAGUGACCCCCUGGAGUGAGAUACCACCAGGUUGUCAGAGAAGGGACCAACCAGUCCGGGAAACACAGUCAGUAAAAUUCCCUUGCCGAUCAGUAGUGGGAUCACACUUAUGAAUAGCCAUUGCCCUCCAACCUGGACAACAUAACAAGACCCCACCUCU
Molecule: signal recognition particle RNA, 290 nt
Filed under: Carlito syrichta (Philippine tarsier)
Lineage: Eukaryota; Metazoa; Chordata; Mammalia; Primates; Tarsiidae
Description: Metazoan signal recognition particle RNA (ENSTSYG00000028099.1)
Rfam family: Metazoan signal recognition particle RNA
About the family: The signal recognition particle (SRP) is a universally conserved ribonucleoprotein. It is involved in the co-translational targeting of proteins to membranes. The eukaryotic SRP consists of a 300-nucleotide 7S RNA and six proteins: SRPs 72, 68, 54, 19, 14, and 9.
Source: RNAcentral